GAUGAAGAACGUAGCGAAAUGCGAUAAGUAAUGUGAAUUGCAGAAUUCAGUGAAUCAUCGAAUCCUUGAACGCACAUUGCGCCCGUCAGUAUUCUGGCGGGCAUGCCUGUUCGAGCGUCAUUACGCCCCUCAAGUCCCCUGUGGACUUGGUGUUGGGGAUCGGCGAGGCUGGUUUUCCAGCACAGCCGUCCCUUAAAUUAAUUGGCGGUCUCGCCGUGGCCCUCCUCUGCGCAGUAGUAAAACACUCGCAACAGGAGCCCGGCGCGGUCCACUGCCGUAAAACCCCCCAACUUUUUAUAGUUGACCUCGAAUCAGGUAGGACUACCCGCUGAACUUAAGCAUAUCAAAGCGGAGGA
Molecule: unclassified non-coding RNA, 356 nt
Filed under: soil metagenome
Description: partial contains 5.8S ribosomal RNA, internal transcribed spacer 2, and large subunit ribosomal RNA
Rfam family: 5.8S ribosomal RNA (bases 1-120)
Source: RNAcentral